UUUUAUAUAAUUUAAUAAAAAUAUUUUAUUUUCAUUAAAAAAACGACUAGCCCACAGUCUAUAAAAU
This 67-nucleotide transfer RNA is filed under the name Nesophrosyne sp. 295 GMB-2012. RNAcentral's name for it is "tRNA-Glu". The record is from RNAcentral. Lineage: Eukaryota; Metazoa; Arthropoda; Insecta; Hemiptera; Cicadellidae.